UCCAGCAAUGCCGCGUGUGUGAAGAAGGCCUUCGGGUUGUAAAGCACUUUUGUCCGGAAAGAAAUCGCGCUGGCUAAUACCUGGCGUGGAUGACGGUACCGGAAGAAUAAGCACCGGCUAACUACGUGCCAGCAGCCGCGGUAAUACGUAGGGUGCGAGCGUUAAUCGGAAUUACUGGGCGUAAAGCGUGCGCAGGCGGUUUUGUAAGACAGGCGUGAAAUCCCCGGGCUUAACCUGGGAAUGGCGCUUGUGACUGCAAGGCUAGAGUGCGUCAGAGGGGGGUAGAAUUCCACGUGUAGCAGUGAAAUGCGUAGAGAUGUGGAGGAAUACCGAUGGCGAAGGCAGCCCCCUGGGACGAGACUGACGCUCAUGCACGAAAGCGUGGGGAGCAAACAGGAUUAGAUACCCUGGUAGUCCACGCCCUAAACGAUGUCAACUAGUUGUUGGGGAUUCAUUUCCUCAGUAACGUAGCUAACGCGUGAAGUUGACCGCCUGGGGAGUACGGUCGCAAGAUUAAAACUCAAAGGAAUUGACGGGGACCCGCACAAGCGGUGGAUGAUGUGGAUUAAUUCGAUGCAACGCGAAAAACCUUACCUACCCUUGACAUGCCACUAACGAAGCAGAGAUGCAUCAGGUGCCCGAAAGGGAAAG
Molecule: ribosomal RNA, 651 nt
Filed under: Cupriavidus gilardii
Lineage: Bacteria; Pseudomonadati; Pseudomonadota; Betaproteobacteria; Burkholderiales; Burkholderiaceae
Description: bacterial SSU rRNA
Rfam family: Bacterial small subunit ribosomal RNA
Source: RNAcentral